Molecule: unclassified non-coding RNA, 971 nt
Filed under: Hevea brasiliensis (rubber tree)
Lineage: Eukaryota; Viridiplantae; Streptophyta; Magnoliopsida; Malpighiales; Euphorbiaceae
Source: RNAcentral
AUGAAAGUGAAAUUACUGUGUUUGAGGAAAGAUAAAUUUCUAAAUAUAUGAAGGUUUGCCUUUAUUUUCCCAUUUAUACUUUUACUUUACAAGUAUGAAAAAGCAUAACAGAGACAUUCUUUAGAGAAUGGGUAUGGGAGAGCUGAGUUGUAAUGAUCGAAUAAGAUCAGAAUCUGACAAGUUGAGAGGAGGCAGAGAGAAGUGACUGUGAGUAGAGCUGCCUCUUCUAAUUUCUUGCAUGGUCAAUAGAGCUGCAACAGUGUUCCUAAAAAUUCCCUCUCCUUCUAUUGUUAUAGCUUCUCUUCCCUCUCUUUUCCUUUCUUCUUCCUCUACAGGAAACACAGCAUCUAUCGUAUUCUCGCAUUCCUUGACAAGCUUUGAUAUAAGAUCUGUUGUAAAAAAGGGUUGUUGCAGCACUUUCUGAAUGAAUGGCAAGCGCAAUAAUCCUCCAGUUCUCUUGUCAUACUUCUUCAGUAUCUUGGCUAAUCCUGUGUAAUUGAUAUUGCUGUAGUUUUCUAGAAGCACCAUUUCGCCAUGGAAAUUGACAAUGUCUUUUCUAAUCUUGCCCAUCUCCUUUUUAUACUCUGCUUCAGAAGGUUGACUUCCAUUUGGCCCCCAGGAAUCAAUAACAAUCUGAAUCCUUUGCUUUAAUUCCUUAUGUCGGAUGAUGAAAUCCUCUUCCUGUUCAAUGAAAAAAGAAUUGAACUUGUCGAUCUCAUUGUUCAGCAAAUACACGAACUCAGCUUCGGCUUUUCCACACUCAAUUGAUCGAAUCGACGACAGGGGAGUAGAAGAAAGUAACCGAACAAGCUUUUUCAAUUCCUUGUACGACAAGAAUUUGUCACGCCAAUCCGGCAACGUUUCUUGCAUUUGUUGCUUCAAUCUCUUGCCAAACUUCAUUUGCAACUCUGCUCUAGCCACUUUCAGAUUAAGAAAAGAAAUGAAAGAGCCAACCCAAGAAUUGCUGCAAG